GAUAGUUUGAAUGCUUCAGUUUUCAAAAACAGAAAAAAAUUCCCUAUACAGGCCCAGGUACCCAUCGCUUCUCUGUGUGCUGGAAGAACUACAAAGAAUGAGAUGAGUCAUUGGUGUUUGGACAAUGUCUCCACCUAGAAACAAAGAUGAAGACUAUUACAUUUUAAAACACACAUUUCCUUCACUGGAUGCUUUAUGCAGAAAAGCUGAGCCUGCAGGAUAUGAACCAGAUGGAGAAAAAGUUUGUGAAGAACUCACUAGUGCCGUACUGCUGAGAUGGUUAGGAGAUUGGAGCACAUGAUAAGUGUGGAUAUGCAAAC
This 320-nucleotide long non-coding RNA is filed under the name Struthio camelus australis. Its description in RNAcentral is "lncRNA (ENSSCUG00000018176.1)". The record is from RNAcentral. Lineage: Eukaryota; Metazoa; Chordata; Aves; Struthioniformes; Struthionidae.